Molecule: ribosomal RNA, 441 nt
Filed under: uncultured bacterium
Lineage: Bacteria
Description: partial 16S ribosomal RNA
Rfam family: Bacterial small subunit ribosomal RNA
Source: RNAcentral
CCUACGGGGAGCAGCAGUGGGGGAUAUUGCACAAUGGGGGGAACCCUGAUGCAGCGACGCCGCGUGGGUGAAGGAGUGCUUCGGCAUGUAAAGCCCUAUCGGCAGGGAAGAAGCAAGACGGUACCUGACUAAGAAGCCCCGGCUAACUACGUGCCAGCAGCCGCGGUAAUACGUAGGGGGCGAGCGUUAUCCGGAUUCACUGGGUGUAAAGGGAGCGUAGACGGCCAUGCAAGCCAGGGGUGAAAGCCCGGGGCCCAACCCCGGGACUGCCCUUGGAACUGUGCGGCUAGAGUGCGGGAGGGGCAGGCGGAAUUCCUGGUGUAGCGGUGAAAUGCGUAGAUAUCAGGAGGAACACCGGCGGCGAAGGCGGCCUGCUGGACUGCGACUGACGUUGAGGCUCGAAAGCGUGGGGAGCGAACAGGAUUAGAUACCCCUGUAGUC